Non-coding RNA from Podarcis lilfordi (Lilford's wall lizard), 74 nucleotides. NCBI's taxonomy places the organism in Eukaryota, Metazoa, Chordata, Lepidosauria, Squamata, Lacertidae. The record is from the annotation of a GenBank genome assembly.
GCCUUGAUAGUUCAGUUGGCUAGAGCGUGGUUUUGAGAACGCCAGGGUUGCAGGUUCAAUCCCCAUAAGGGACA